Molecule: ribosomal RNA, 405 nt
Filed under: uncultured Aminicenantes bacterium
Lineage: Bacteria; Candidatus Aminicenantota
Description: bacterial SSU rRNA
Rfam family: Bacterial small subunit ribosomal RNA
Source: RNAcentral
GAACGGGUGAGUAACACGUGGGUAACCUGCCCUCGAGUGGGGAAUAAGCUCCCGAAAGGGGGUCUAAUACCGCAUAACGUUUCAUGGCGAUGGUCAUGAAACCAAAGCCCAAAAGGCGCUCGAGGAGGGGCCUGCGGCCUAUCAGCUAGUUGGUAGGGUAAUGGCCUACCAAGGCUACGACGGGUAGCCGGCCUGAGAGGGUGUCCGGCCACACUGGGACUGAGACACGGCCCAGACUCCUACGGGAGGCAGCAGUGGGGAAUUUUGCGCAAUGGGGGAAACCCUGACGCAGCGACGCCGCGUGGAGGAUGAAGGCCUUCGGGUUGUAAACUCCUGUCAGAGGGGACGAAAUCCCGCAAGGGACUGACGGUACCCUCAGAGGAAGCCCCGGCUAACUACGUGCCA